This 253-nucleotide ribosomal RNA is filed under the name uncultured bacterium. RNAcentral's name for it is "partial 16S ribosomal RNA". It matches the Rfam family "Bacterial small subunit ribosomal RNA", at positions 524 to 776 of the family's 1533-position model. The record is from RNAcentral.
UACGUAGGGGGCAAGCGUUGUCCGGAAUUAUUGGGCGUAAAGAGCGUGUAGGCGGCCAGACAGGUCCGUUGUGAAAACUCGAGGCUCAACCUCGAGACGCCGAUGGAAACCGUCUGGCUAGAGUCCGGAAGAGGAGAGUGGAAUUCCUGGUGUAGCGGUGAAAUGCGCAGAUAUCAGGAAGAACACCCGUGGCUAAGGCGGCUCUCUAGUACGGUACUGACGCUGAGACGCGAAAGCGUGGGGAGCGAACAGG